GACGAACGCUGGCGGCGUGCCUAAUACAUGCAAGUCGAGCGAAUUCUUUAAAAGCUUGCUUUUGAAGAGUUAGCGGCGGACGGGUGAGUAACACGUGGGCAACCUGCCUAUAAGACUGGGAUAACUUCGGGAAACCGGAGCUAAUACCGGAUAAUUCUUUUCUACUCAUGUGGAAAAGCUGAAAGACGGUUUACGCUGUCACUUAUAGAUGGGCCCGCGGCGCAUUAGCUAGUUGGUGAGGUAACGGCUCACCAAGGCCACGAUGCGUAGCCGACCUGAGAGGGUGAUCGGCCACACUGGGACUGAGACACGGCCCAGACACCUACGGGUGGCAG
This 335-nucleotide ribosomal RNA is filed under the name uncultured Bacillota bacterium. RNAcentral describes it as "bacterial SSU rRNA". It matches the Rfam family "Bacterial small subunit ribosomal RNA", at positions 28 to 351 of the family's 1533-position model. The record is from RNAcentral. Lineage: Bacteria; Bacillati; Bacillota.